AACGGAAAGGCCCUGCUUUUGUGGGGUGCUCGAGUGGCGAACGGGCGAGUAACACGUGAGUAACCUGCCCUUGACUUUGGGAUAACUUCAGGAAACUGGGGCUAAUACCGGAUAGGAGCUCCUGCUGCAUGGUGGGGGUUGGAAAGUUUCGGCGGUUGGGGAUGGACUCGCGGCUUAUCAGCUUGUUGGUGGGGUAGUGGCUUACCAAGGCUUUGACGGGUAGCCGGCCUGAGAGGGUGACCGGCCACAUUGGGACUGAGAUACGGCCCAGACUCCUACGGGAGGCAGCAGUGGGGAAUAUUGCACAAUGGGCGGAAGCCUGAUGCAGCAACGCCGCGUGCGGGAUGACGGCCUUCGGGUUGUAAACCGCUUUCGCCUGUGACGAAGCGUGAGUGACGGUAAUGGGUAAAGAAGCACCGGCUAACUACGUGCCAGCAGCCGCGGUGAUACGUAGGGUGCGAGCGUUGUUCGGAUUUAUUGGGCGUAAAGGGCUCGUAGGUGGUUGAUCGCGUCGGAAGUGUAAUCUUGGGGCUUAACCCUGAGCGUGCUUUCGAUACGGGUUGACUUGAGGAAGGUAGGGGAGAAUGGAAUUCCUGGUGGAGCGGUGGAAUGCGCAGGUAUCAGGAGGAACACCAGUGGCGAAGGCGGUUCUCUGGGCCUUUCCCGACGCUGAGGAGCGAAAGCGUGGGGAGCGAACAGGCUUAGAUACCCUGGU
RNAcentral lists this ribosomal RNA (715 nucleotides) under uncultured Propionibacterium sp. Its description in RNAcentral is "bacterial SSU rRNA". It matches the Rfam family "Bacterial small subunit ribosomal RNA", at positions 65 to 791 of the family's 1533-position model. The record is from RNAcentral. Lineage: Bacteria; Bacillati; Actinomycetota; Actinomycetes; Propionibacteriales; Propionibacteriaceae.